This 305-nucleotide ribosomal RNA is filed under the name uncultured bacterium. Its description in RNAcentral is "bacterial SSU rRNA". It matches the Rfam family "Bacterial small subunit ribosomal RNA", at positions 337 to 634 of the family's 1533-position model. The record is from RNAcentral.
GCCUACGGGGGGCAGCAGUAGGGAAUCUUCCACAAUGGGCGAAAGCCUGAUGGAGCAACGCCGCGUGGGUGAAGAAGGUCUUCGGAUCGUAAAACCCUGUUGUUAGAGAAGAAAGUGCGUGAGAGUAACUGUUCACGUUUCGACUGUAUCUAACCAGAAAGCCACGGCUAACUACGUGCCAGCAGCCGCGGUAAUACGUAGGUGGCAAGCGUUAUCCGGAUUUAUUGGGCGUAAAGGGAACGCAGGCGGUCUUUUAAGUCUUAUGUGAAAGCCUUCGGCUUAACCGGAGUAGUGCAUUGGAAACU